This 71-nucleotide transfer RNA is filed under the name Stegodyphus mimosarum. It matches the Rfam family "tRNA". From Rfam's summary of the family: Transfer RNA (tRNA) molecules are approximately 80 nucleotides in length. Their secondary structure includes four short double-helical elements and three loops (D, anti-codon, and T loops). Further hydrogen bonds mediate the characteristic L-shaped molecular structure. tRNAs have two regions of fundamental functional importance: the anti-codon, which is responsible for specific mRNA codon recognition, and the 3' end, to which the tRNAs corresponding amino acid is attached (by aminoacyl-tRNA synthetases). tRNAs cope with the degeneracy of the genetic code in two manners: having more than one tRNA (with a specific anti-codon) for a particular amino acid; and 'wobble' base-pairing, i.e. permitting non-standard base-pairing at the 3rd anti-codon position. The record is from Rfam by way of RNAcentral. Lineage: Eukaryota; Metazoa; Arthropoda; Arachnida; Araneae; Eresidae.
GCCUUCGUAGUAUAGUGGUCAGCACGCUACGCGUAACAGAGAGGCCCGUGGUUCGAUUCCCGGCAAGGGCA